AUUGAACGCUGGCGGCAGGCCUAACUCAUGCAAGUCGAACGGUAACAGGAAACAGCUUGCUGUUUCGCUGGCGAGUGGCGGACGGGUGAGUAAUGUCUGGGAAACUGCCUGAUGGAGGGGGAUAACUACUGGAAACGGUAGCUAAUACCGCAUAACGUCGCAAGACCAAAGAGGGGGACCUUCGGGCCUCUUGCCAUCGGAUGUGCCCAGAUGGGAUUAGCUAGUAGGUGGGGUAACGGCUCACCUAGGCGACGAUCCCUAGCUGGUCUGAGAGGAUGACCAGCCACACUGGAACUGAGACACGGUCCAGACUCCUACGGGAGGCAGCAGUGGGGAAUAUUGCACAAUGGGCGCAAGCCUGAUGCAGCCAUGCCGCGUGUAUGAAGAAGGCCUUCGGGUUGUAAAGUACUUUCAGCGGGGAGGAAGGGAGUAAAGUUAAUACCUUUGCUCAUUGACGUUACCCGCAGAAGAAGCACCGGCUAACUCCGUG
This 490-nucleotide ribosomal RNA is filed under the name uncultured bacterium. RNAcentral describes it as "partial 16S ribosomal RNA". It matches the Rfam family "Bacterial small subunit ribosomal RNA", at positions 30 to 507 of the family's 1533-position model. The record is from RNAcentral.